RNAcentral lists this ribosomal RNA (139 nucleotides) under Luteibacter sp. UNCMF331Sha3.1. Lineage: Bacteria; Pseudomonadati; Pseudomonadota; Gammaproteobacteria; Lysobacterales; Rhodanobacteraceae. The record is from RNAcentral.
CCUGGCGGCUAUAGCGGCGUGGUCCCACCUGAUCCCAUCCCGAACUCAGAAGUGAAACGCGCAUGCGCCGAUGGUAGUGUGGCUCAAGCCAUGCAAGAGUAGGUCACCGCCAGGGGCUUUAUCCCAAAAACCCGGUCUC